AAAAAGCAAAUAAGAAUAUUAGAGAUCAAGCCAUUUUUUUAUAAUGCUAGUUUUUAUGAGCUACAGCAAGUCGUAUUAAGUGAUUGGAUCUGAUGUUACAGCGUUUUACGGAGAGUUUGAGAAGACUUGAUCUGAAGAUGAAGUUAGCUUUGUUUCUCCUUCUCACAGGGGUGAUCUUCUUUUCGCUUUUGCUCAAUCGUUACAGUACAGCAACUGAGGGUCGCGGCGAAAGGGCUGAGGUACUGGAUUGCCCUGGUAACUUGGAAUAUUUAAACAACGGGAAAGGAUGCGGUUCUCCAUCAUGUUUUAUCCCCGGCGAGAUGUCGUGUAACAGAGCUGCUAGUGCAGGAUGUUUCUGCCCAAAAGGAAUGGUACUGUGCGGAUUGAAGAACCGCGCCAUCUGCGUCGAAGCAUCAGCAUGCGGAUCGUCUGCUUGUCCAGUGUGUGAGAACGGAUUGAAGUGGUCUGAAGAACAAGGCGGUUGCAUCCCUGAAUAAAUUAUGCACCUUUGCCAUGGUAAUUAGGUUUUAAAUUAUAGAGAACAACUUUAGGCCCUAAAUGAACAUGGAAAAAGACGGAGUGAAGAGACAAUUAACCAAUAACUUAGAAGUAGGCCUGAUUUAAUAAUGGUCCUGGUAAUUGGUCCAAAAGCUGAAACUGAAAUAGUGAGACAUUAAUAGUUUAAUAUUUUGAUUACAAUCCUGAUUAUCAGCCAAAAUAUAAAAAUAAUCUGUAAUAAAUACUUAAUACCUAUUGUUCAGGGGGAUGAAUGAAUAGAUCACCCCCCCCCCCCCAUGAACAAUAGGUAUAUACAGAUCGACACUCAUGUCGAUCACCCUGAUUGCAUUAUCCGACCAAAUAGAUAGACCCGCUCCAUUAGCAUAAUAGGUAUAUAGGUUAAUUAAAUUUGUUUUUGGUUUCCAUUGAUUCAUUCAUCAGUAGUGGCAUGGGUAUUGAAUAAAGUGUAUUAUCAUAUUCUUCAUUGAAAAUGUCACAACUUUUACUAAUCAAAUGUGUAAAGGUCGGAUUACAAAAUCAAAGCGAAAAUAAGGUAAUGCAGAUAAUUACACAAAUAUAUUGGCACCUUCCAUUAGAUUAUUGUCGAUAAUCCACUUAAACAAAAAGGAUUUGACUACUGCUAAAGAAUUUAAAUUCCCCUGUUAUUAAUCAAUAGAAAAUAUGACGAUAAGUUUUUAAAGCAUAUAACUAGGAAUAUUAUGAUAACGAGCAACUUACUACACUGAUGAAUAGCAAAAAAGCCACUCCGUUUGAAUAUUCAUAUAAUAGCAAAGUAAAAUUUUUAUUACAAUAAUUAACUGUUGAUGAUUUUUAUCCGAUUUAUUACAUUGGAGUGCUUUUGUUUCUUUUAAAUUAAAAUAACCAUCACAGCUUUGAGGUUCAAGUAUUAUUUGAUGAUUUUUUUUUUUCGGAUAGAGGGUUUAUGGUUUUUGAAGACCCUACAAAUUCAUUAAAUAAUUGUCAUUAGAUAUUAUAUCCUUUUUGUAAUUCCAAAAUAUAGUGAAAUCGAAUUUCAAUUAAUGUCACUUCCAUCGAAAGUAAUAAAGAAUAACAAAUUAAAAAAUCCUUUCAUAUUGCGUGUAUAGCCUAAAAGUGUUUCAUCUGUACGGUAGCAAAUUAUACUUUCUUAAGAAUAAGCAAUUAAAUCCAGACUUUAGAAUAACGAAGUUAAAAGUACUUAUCAUAAUCCGAUACUUCAUACUAAUUUGAAAGUAAUUUGACCUUGUUAGGACCUUUAUCCUUAUCACAGCUUUUAGUUUCUAGAGUCUUGAACAGAAGAGCCGGUUACGAAUAAUAACUUUAAAAUGCUUGAAAUUAUGUAGAGUUCGAUUAUGAUUCGAUUAUGAAAUUAGCGUUACUAACCUUGUUAUAUUAAGAUAAUGUGUGUACACUGUGCCGUUAUUUAAUGUAUUUUCUACCGAUUAUCUUUAUUUUCAUAAUUGGCACUUUUAUACAGUAUACUACUCAGAUCAACAGCUAUCAAUAUUAAGCCACAUCUUAGUUUUGAUAAAUGAAACAAGGUAUAUUUUAUGAUAAGUUUGUAAAGCUAAGAACGAUAUUUUCACUUUAAUUCAAUCCAGGCACCGAACAGAGGAACAAUAAUUAUAAUUUUAAGUUUUUCUCGGAAAUGCCUCUUUCGCGGAAGUGCAAAAGAAGUACCAGUACUACAUACGCAUCGGAUUUUGCCCAAGGUAUAAUGUGUGGAAGUAAGAAGUUUAGAUGUUACUAUAUCUUAUAUGAAUAUACAAAUAUUAUGGAGUUUCGCUUGUGACUGAAGUGGCUGCUACUUGGAAUUUGAAGGUGGAAGUCGAGAGAUCUUCAAACGCGAGGUUCUAAAAUGGUCUUUUGACAGUGGCCAGUUUCCAUUGAAGGGCAGUCAUCGAUUAAUGAUUGCGUGAGAUUUUUUAAAAUAAAAUUUGUAAUAGUUAACUUUAAAUUUAAACGUGAACAGUUACUUAUGAAAUGCCGAGUAUGUCUUUGGAAAUGAGGAAACAUGGCCUAGUGUAGUGUUCAUCUUUUGAAGGAUAUAAACACUGAGAGAUAUUCACAUGAAACCUCAAGAAAUAUCAAAAUAGAUUAAUAGAACAUUUAGAAUUUUCUUAAAGAAUAGUAUGAAUAUUUUGAUAUUUAUGUUGACAUUAGAGAGAACUGAAACUAUUAUGAUUGAUUUGUUCUUUAUUGUUUGGGGGGGGGGGGGGGACAAAAAAUGUGAUUUACAAAGACUUUGAUACGCCAACCAUUAUUAUUUGAAAAUAAUCAUAUCUGGUAUGCGAUGAUGAUGGUGAUGAUGGUGAUAGUAGAAAUGAUCAUUUAUAGUACAAUCACUACAACUAUAAUCACCAUUACAACUUUGUCAUUUUCUUCAAACUAUACUAUCGCUAUUAUCAUCGCCAUCAACACCUAAUAAAUAUUCAUCAGCAGCAAUAUCAUCGUCAUCGUCGUCGUUGUUGCCAUCCUCCCCAUUAUCACUAUCAUCAUCAGUAGCAGGAGCAGAAGCAACAGCAGUAAAUAUUUGUAAUUUAUUACUAUUUCUCUGUUCUGUUCUCCAAAGUAAUCCUUGCAAAAGGCAAAAGGGAUGAUCAUACAUUAUAGAAUCUGCAUGCAUGCAGGUUAAGCAUUCCCGGAAGAUUCCCGGAAGCUAUUAUAACCAACAUAAUUACAAAUUAAAAGAUUACUGUCACUAAAUAGUACACUACGUCCGAUUCAGAUACGGAAGCGAGAGGG
Molecule: long non-coding RNA, 3243 nt
Filed under: Strongylocentrotus purpuratus (purple sea urchin)
Lineage: Eukaryota; Metazoa; Echinodermata; Echinoidea; Camarodonta; Strongylocentrotidae
Description: uncharacterized LOC105442914
Source: RNAcentral